RNAcentral lists this ribosomal RNA (429 nucleotides) under Bacteroidota bacterium. Its description in RNAcentral is "Bacteroidetes bacterium partial 16S ribosomal RNA". It matches the Rfam family "Bacterial small subunit ribosomal RNA", at positions 355 to 776 of the family's 1533-position model. The record is from RNAcentral. Lineage: Bacteria; Pseudomonadati; Bacteroidota.
UAGGGAAUCUUCCGCAAUGGACGCAAGUCUGACGGAGCAACGCCGCGUGAGUGAAGAAGGAUUUCGGUUCGUAAAACUCUGUUGUUAGAGAAGAACAGCGCAUAGAGUAACUGCUAUGCGUGUGACGGUAUCUAACCAGAAAGCCACGGCUAACUACUUGCCAGCAGCCGCGGUAAUACGUAGGUGGCAAGCGUUGUCCGGAUUUAUUGGGCGUAACGCGAGCGCAGGCGGUCAAUUAAGUCUGAUGUGAAAGCCCCCGGCUCAACCGGGGAGGGUCAUUGGAAACUGGUUGACUUGAGUGCAGAAGAGGGGGGUGGAAUUCCAUGUGGAGCGGGGAAAUGCGUAGAUAUAUGGAGGAACACCAGUGGCGAAGGCGACUCUCUGGUCUGUAACUGACGCUGAGGCUCGAAAGCGUGGGUAGCAAACAGG